GGACAGGAGGAGCUCCUUAUGGAAAUGGAUUUUUACACACACACACCCCAGAGAAAGGAGAGGGGUCCAAGCAGAGCUGAACAUUGAGUCACGGGUGCGCUGUGAAAUACGAUUUCGAGAGGGUACUGAGAGAUAGAAAACUUUUGAAUGGAGACGCUAGCGGCUGGACUAGGACUCGGAGGUUUUGAAUGUUAACCCGCACGGGGUCGAAAGGUACUACCACAAGAGACUGGCAAGGCACGGCCCAAAUCCCACCACAGGUUCCAGAGGCUUGCUUUGGGUUGUUCGCUUGUUAUCUGGGCCACCCAAUGACCGACGAAAGAUCUUCCCUCCCCACGUCUCCCAUCGCCGUUUUAAACCAAAUAAAUUUAGCUAUUAAGGGCCGAGACGUCUGACAAAAGAUCGAAAGGUGUCUCUCUGGGAUCGCUUAAAGAAGCCAAGAAGCUGGCGACUCUCGGAAUCCCGAUAAAGAAAUUCCACGCCGGCGCCGACCUCCCUCCCCAGCCUGCUUGCACCCAACACCCUGAGAUCAGGACCUCAGAGGUCCACUGGGACUUGUGGCUACAGCUAAGGCAAUGUCUCGGGUACCUGGGGCUGUUAGACUUUGGGAGCAGGGCACUGAGGUCCCUAGAGCAGUGAUACCUAAAACAUUUCCUGCCAAGCUUGCAGAAGAACCAAGGCCAAGGAAACCCAACCUAAGCAUUUAAAUUUGCUUUUCCCCCCUUUUCCUUUGAGACAAAGUCUCUCAUCAAACAUGGCAGGCUGGCCUCAAACUCAUGAUCCUCAGGUCUGUGCAGUAUUGGGAUUCAAAUGUAGCCUUGUCCCGCCGUUUUUAUUGUUUGUUAAUACUGAGUAAUAAAGACAAUA
Molecule: long non-coding RNA, 867 nt
Organism: Microtus ochrogaster (prairie vole)
Lineage: Eukaryota; Metazoa; Chordata; Mammalia; Rodentia; Cricetidae
Exons: 4
Source: RefSeq, a predicted model, not a curated record